AUUAAACGCUGGCGGCAUGCCUUACACAUGCAAGCCGAACGGCAGCACGGGGGCAACCCUGGUGGCGAGUGGCGGACGGGUGAGUAAAGCAUCGGAACGUAUCCUGGAGUGGGGGAUAACGUAGCGAAAGUUACGCUAAUACCGCAUAUUCUGUGAGCAGGAAAGCAGGGGAUCGCAAGACCUUGCGCUCUGGGAGCGGCCGAUGUCGGAUUAGCUAGUUGGUGGGUAAAGCCUACCAAGGCGACGAUCCGUAGCGGGUCUGAGAGGAUGAUCCGCCACACUGGGACUGAGACACGGCCCAGACUCCUACGGGAGGCAGCAGUGGGGAAUUUUGGACAAUGGGCGGAAGCCUGAUCCAGCCAUGCCGCGUG
RNAcentral lists this ribosomal RNA (371 nucleotides) under uncultured bacterium. Its description in RNAcentral is "bacterial SSU rRNA". It matches the Rfam family "Bacterial small subunit ribosomal RNA", at positions 29 to 403 of the family's 1533-position model. The record is from RNAcentral.